This is a long non-coding RNA of Scomber scombrus (Atlantic mackerel), 5401 nucleotides long. RefSeq lists it as uncharacterized. The transcript has 4 exons. The record is from RefSeq and is a predicted model, not a curated record. Lineage: Eukaryota; Metazoa; Chordata; Actinopteri; Scombriformes; Scombridae.
GAAAAAUGGACGCAGUUUGCCCUGUCUCACUUAUUUCUCCUGUUUCCAGUCUUGCUCUGGAGAGACCACUGCUGGGUUUCAACGUGCUGGAAGAGAUGAUACAAGAACAACCUGAAAAGCUGAUUUCAACCCUCGUCGUCCUACUCUUUAAUGCCUUGUGUAUACCAGCAGAGAAGGCAGAGCUACUGGUGAGCUUCAUCCAAGCCAGCAAACCCUCUGUGCAGUGUGGGCGCCUACGGACAGGCAGACAGGACAUUGUUAUCCCAGCAGGUCAGGUAACCUGGGUCAAGUACCAAGUCACAAGUCACACCCUCCCCACAUGAGUACAGCUGACGCAGUCUUCCUAUUUGAGCCUGAUGACAACAAUGUGCAGUUGACAGAACUGGAUGUGGGUGAAGGUUUGUUGGAGGUACAAAAUACAAGAAAACCCUAUGUAGCUGUACCUGUGGGUAACAACACUAAACAUGCAGUCACUCUACCAAGAAAGACAGCACUUGGCAGCAUCCACUGUGUUGAAAAAGUGAUCGCAACAGACUUACCUGAAGCACCCAAGCCCACAGUGACUGUUAACAGUGCUGUAUCAACACCUGUUGACACCCGUCCAUCGCCAUGGCAACCUCCCAUCGACCUCAGUCACCGUAUGCUGCCCCAGUUGUCUGUGUUAGGAAGAAAGAUGGCAGCCUACGUCUUUCUAUUGAUUAUCGCCUCCUGAACAAAAAGACUGUGCCUGACCGACAUCCGCUGCCCAGAAUACAAGACCUGACAGACUUAUGCUGCAUCCCAUAUCUGGAUGACGUGCUGUGUUAUGCAAGAACAUUCGAUGAACAUGUGGAGGCCCUCCACAAAGUUCUCCAGGCUGUUCAACAGCAUGGAGUAAAACUGAGACCUGACAAAUGUGAGCUUUUCAGACAAGAAGUCAGGUACGUGGGGCGCCUUGUGUCAGCUGAUGGUGUUAAGAUAGACCCACAGGACCUUGAAGCAGUCAAAACCUUGACAAGCAAGACACCACAGACAGUGAGGUAAGGAAACUGACCGGCUUCCUGGGAUAUUAUCGCUCAUACAUCCCAGAUUUUUCCAGGAUCGCAAAGCCAAUCUAAGAGCUUCUCCAAACGAAGCCAGGGAAAGCCCAGAUUCCAACAUGUGGGAAAACCACCAAACGCCCACAGCUGCCUUCCAGAGAGCCCGUUGACUGGACCCCUCAACAUCAGGAAGCCUUAGAGCAACUGGUCACUCUCCUUAUAACCCCACCUGUUUUAGCAUACCCUGAUUUUAACCUACCUUUCACACUGCAUACAGACGCCUCAGACCAGGGCCUGGGGGCUGUCCUCUAUCAGCGCCAGAAUGGAAAGCUGAGAGUCAUUGGCUAUGGCUCGAGGACUUUGACACCGGCUGAAUGUAACUACCACCUGCACAGUGGAAAACUGGAGUUCCUCGCAUGGAAAUGGGCUGUGUGUGAAAAGUUCCGGGACUACCUGUACUACGCUCCCCAUUUCACUGUGUACACGGACAACAACCCCCUGACCUAUAUCAUGAGUACAGCAAAGCUCAACGCUGUUGGUCAUCGGUGGGUGGGAGAACUCAGAUUUCCGGUUGGACAUCAGGUAUAGGCCUGGAAAAUCAAAUGUGUAUGCAGACACACUGUCUCGCCUCCCCUUGGACAUGGAAAUAUAUGAGGUGGCUUGUACAGAGAAGUUCUUGAACGAGGCAGUGUGUGCUACAUGGGAUGGGAGUCAGGCAGCAGAAUGGAAGGAUGUGGCCUGGGUUGCAGCACUUAACAUGUGUUCCCCCGGAUCCUCCCCCACAACCUCAUUGUCACCUGCCAGCUAUCAGCCAUGAUGAUCUUGUUGAGGCUCAAAGAGAGGAUCAAGCCAUAGGCAAGAUUAUUGAGUUAAAGGAGUCAAACACAAAACUGAGAGAUGACAUAUGCCAAACUGUAAGUGGAGCCACCCGAAAGCUGCUGCAUGAGUGGAGUAAGUUGCAACUUGAAGACUGCCUCCUCUACAGAAGGACGAACCAGCAAAAGCAGUUAGUCCUCCCUCUGAAACACAGGCCGAUAGGUCUGAAGUACCUACACAAUGAGAUGUGUCAUGUAGGCACAGAAAGACUGCUCAAUCUUGCUCUGAAAAGAUUUUACUGGUCAUUUAUGGCUAAAGAAAUUGAAGACUAUGUCACCCGAAAAUGUCCCUGUAUCAGGUCUAAGAAACCCACGACACACACUCGAGAUCCUAUGGGCAGCAUCACAUCUAACUUCCCUUUAGAGCUUGUGUGUAUUGACUAUUUGCAUCUGGAAACCAGUUGUGGGGGAUAUGAAUAUAUUCUAGUAGUGAUUGAUCAUUUCACUAGAUUUGCCCAGGCAUACCCCACGAAGAACAAGAGCGGGAAAACAGCUGCUGAGCGCAUCUUCAAUGAUUUCAUACCCCGGUUUGGAUAUCCAUCCAAACUACAUCAUGACCAGGGUCGUGAAUUUGAGAACAAACUGUUUCAAUCAUUACAGCGACUGUCAGGGGUUGGCCACUCGCGGACGUCGCCCUACCACCCAUAAGGCAACCCAGCUGAGCGGUUGAACCGCACCAUCCUCCAGAUGUUAAGAACAUUGACUGAUAGUGAGAAACUGCGGUGGAAGGAUCACCUCCCGCAUGUUAUACACGCAUACAAUUGUACCAGACAUGAAUCAACCGGCUACUCACCGUUUUUCCUCCUCUACGGCCGUCACCAUCUCCCAGUCGACUUGCUGUUUGGAUUGGUUGGAGAUAGGGAACCAUACUCACCUAGAGGAUUUGCAUAGAAAUGGGCUAAAAGGAUGUCAGAAGCCUACCGCAUUGCCGGCGAGAAUAGCAAAAAGUCCAGUGCAAGGGGAAAAGUGACAUAUGACAAGAAAGCAAGAGGAGUUGUACUGCAACCAGGGGCCAGAGUGCACACUCAGUCAGAGGUUAGAAGGUCCGCUCGUGAGAGAAGGCCACGCCAUUUUCUCACAUAUGAGUCAUUAGGUGAACCAUCAGUCCAGUCACACGCCACAGUUAACUCAGUGACCGGAUACACAGCACCCUAUAUACCUGUCAUAGAGGCACCUCAUCACACUGCACCUGCACACUCACUCUUUCCAUAGAGAAAGCAGUGGAAAGUAGCUCUAAGAAGGGAAGAGUUUUCUACUAGCCCGUCGUCAAUGCUUUGCAGAGAUCAUUUCAGACCAACAGGUCAGACAGUCAGUCUCAGAUGGAGCUAUUCCUUCUGGCGUCUGUUUCCCAGCUCAUCUCUAAAGGCCUGUGGCUACCGGUACAUCUCAGACCUCAAAGAAGACUCAAGAGACCCUGUCAGUGGACUAUUCACACCUCAUCCAAGAGACUGAACCCCUGCCUGUGCCCGAUGUUGAUCAGUGCAAUGGAUAGAGAAAGGAGGGCAAAGAACACUGUAUGGUCUUCUGGAAGAUCUCAGGGUGAAGAAACUCAUAAACGAAGAGCUGAUAUAUAGAUAUUAUUUAUUAUAUCAUUAUCAUUACUAUGUUAUGUCUCUGGUACUAUGGUUAUUAUUUAAUUAAUAUUGUUAAUUAAUAUUAUUCUUAUUAUUACACUAUAUUGACAACUUUAACCUUUGGUACUCUUAUCUGUACUUAUCAUUAAAUUAUAAUACUAUUAGCAUUUUUGUUAAUUACACUAUUAAUUAUCAUUAUUACUACUGCUGUGUGACUUUUAUUAGUAUUAUCACCAUUGUUGUCUGUAUAAAUAUAUGUAAUAUAUUAUGGUGAUGAAAAAGUUCUGCAUUUUAUUUAUUUAUUAAUUAUGUUUUUGUUGUUGUUUUUUUAAUGGUGUUUUUGUUGUUCUGUCCGCAUCUUCUUGGAUGUGCUUCUCUCUCCUCUCCUUUCUUUCUCUCUCUCUCUCACCCAAUUGGUCGAGGCAGAUGGCCACUCACUUAGAGCGCAGUACUGUAUGAGGUUUCUUCCUGGUAAAGGGGAGAUUUUCCUGCCACUGUCGCUAAGUGCUGCUCAUGUGGGAAUGUUGGGUCUCUUUCAUUUAACCCUUGUGCUUCACUAAGACAUUUCUGGCUUUCAUUUUUUAUCUUCUUGAUAAUUUGGGCUGUGUUCAUGCCUAUGGCAUCAAAUUCUCCAAGGUUAUUCUUUUUAAUUAAUUUUUGAUUUCAAUCAAUCACCCAGGGCUUAAAAUGUAUAACAUAAUUUAGCUAUAUUUAUCUCUAUGGGAGAUAAUUUAUUAAUUGAAAGUAGAAAAUAAUAUUAAUUUAUAAUAUUUGUAUGGUUUUCUAGACCUGCUCCAUGUGUAAAGUGCCUUGAGAUGACUUGUGAUUUGGCGCUACACACAUUCAAUAUUUAACUUCCAUUAUCAUCACAGUAACAACGUUACAUACUCUGGUAGCUGCAGCACUGGAACAAACAUUAAUAUUUACAUUUAUAAUCAUCAGAUAACAUUAUAUACGUUGUUUUUGCUACCUAUCUGUUUCCCAAAUAUAUUAGUGAAUGGGUGAAUGAAAGGCAUUAACUUAAAGCAGUUUGUAGAAAAGUGCUUUAUAAAGUUUACUCUAUUAACUUGUAUUAGUUCACGUUGCAGAUCUGCCACAUCCAAUAUGGCGGACACGCUGACGUAUCGCAGCAACGGGCCAACCCGCUCAGUGAGGGGUCUAUGUCUGUGGUUUGACCUGUGUCACUUAUUUCUCCUGUUUCCAGGUUGGUAGAAUAGUAAAUUAAGCCAAGUUACUGAGGUGUAAUAUGUUGACAUGUCGCUGAAUUUUUUAAUGUCCGCUAAUAAGGCUGUUUUAUGAAUAUACGGACAUAUAUGUACAUAUAGCAGUCGCUACAUUUUCGCGCCUGAUAACGUCACCUGUUGCUACCAAAGUCACGUCGGUCAGAGUUUUAUUUUUUUAUCUCCUUGAACAUUUUUGUAAAGUCUAAUAGUUUUGAAAUGUAUGAUAUUGUGUAAAAUGUGAAAAGCUAAUGUUAAAAACUGAGUUUAUGUACUGUAAAACGGUUAAAAGCUAAUGUUAAAAACGAAUUUUGUAUAUUUUAAAAGUGGUUAAAAACAAGUUAAAAAUCUGUCAGCUCAUGCAUUUUGGAAGAGUAAAAUAAUUUUAGUUGGAAAUGGAAAAUGCAUUUAGGAACCAUGUAAGUGGUAACAUAAGCUAUGUUUUAUAUGUAAAUGGUAACAUAAGCUAUGUUUUAUUUUAAGCUGAAAAGAGACAACUUACAGGGUAACAGUGAUUAUUGUCAUUUUGAUUGAUUUAAUCACACAAAACGUAUAACUCAGUAUUUGCUGAGAAAUGAGAAAGGCAAAUUGUAUUUUAUUUUGAAGUCAUGUUUAUUUCAUAGUGAACAUUGAGUGUUUGUAACAGGAGGAUUUAAAUUGUGAAUGCUUUAAUAAAUGAUCUCCUCUUUCUGCUGAGCAAGAUGAAAAACGGA